Non-coding RNA from Anas platyrhynchos (mallard), 369 nucleotides. NCBI's taxonomy places the organism in Eukaryota, Metazoa, Chordata, Aves, Anseriformes, Anatidae. The record is from RefSeq and is a predicted model, not a curated record.
CCAACUUCAUGGCCAUUCACCUCUUUAAUAAUAUCACCUACGUGCAGAAGACCUUGUCGAUCUAUCAUUCCACCAUGGAGAAUUCGUGCUAUUACCAGAUCAUUGUUCUCAACUCUGAACGUAACACCCUGAAAGAGAUCCCUUCUUGCAGAAUUUGGAACAUGUCUCCCUGGAACAAAUGAGGCAGAAAGGAUAGCAAUUCUGUAGUAAUUAGUUAUUUUUCUAUUUCCCCAUUAGAGAGGGAGACAUAGAGUCUCCCCAAGACUCAAGAAGAGAAUUGUAUCCACAUCCUGGACUGCAAAUUUUCUUAGAAGUUCUUCUAGAGUGGUCUUUACUAUGAUAUCAGUUAAAUAAAAACCCUUGAAAUUA